ACUGACCUUGCUGUCAAUUCCAACAAUACUUUAGUAGCUUCUGCUUCAAAUGAUUGCAUCGUCAGAGUUUGGCGCUUGCCUGAUGGGCUGCCGAUUUCUGUGUUGCGUGGUCAUUCUGGAGCUGUUACCGCAAUAGCAUUUAGUCCACGACCCAGUUCUAUUUAUCAGCUCUUAUCGUCAUCUGAUGAUGGAACAUGCCGGAUUUGGGA
RNAcentral lists this unclassified non-coding RNA (209 nucleotides) under Hevea brasiliensis (rubber tree). The record is from RNAcentral. Lineage: Eukaryota; Viridiplantae; Streptophyta; Magnoliopsida; Malpighiales; Euphorbiaceae.